AGCUUGCUGUUUCGCUGACGAGUGGCGGACGGGUGAGUAAUGUCUGGGAAACUGCCUGAUGGAGGGGGAUAACUACUGGAAACGGUAGCUAAUACCGCAUAACGUCGCAAGACCAAAGAGGGGGACCCUCGGGCCUCUUGCCAUCGGAUGUGCCCAGAUGGGAUUAGCUUGUUGGUGGGGUAACGGCUCACCAAGGCGACGAUCCCUAGCUGGUCUGAGAGGCUGACCAGCCCAACUGGAACUGAGAC
Molecule: ribosomal RNA, 248 nt
Filed under: Escherichia coli
Lineage: Bacteria; Pseudomonadati; Pseudomonadota; Gammaproteobacteria; Enterobacterales; Enterobacteriaceae
Description: partial 16S ribosomal RNA
Rfam family: Bacterial small subunit ribosomal RNA
Source: RNAcentral